This 698-nucleotide ribosomal RNA is filed under the name Promicromonospora sp. RNAcentral's name for it is "bacterial SSU rRNA". It matches the Rfam family "Bacterial small subunit ribosomal RNA", at positions 86 to 799 of the family's 1533-position model. Lineage: Bacteria; Bacillati; Actinomycetota; Actinomycetes; Micrococcales; Promicromonosporaceae. The record is from RNAcentral.
GGUGGAUCAGUGGCGAACGGGUGAGUAACACGUGAGCAACCUGCCCCCCACUUCGGGAUAAGCCUUGGAAACGAGGUCUAAUACCGGAUACGAGCACCUACCGCAUGGUAGGUGUUGGAAAGUUUUUCGGUGGGGGAUGGGCUCGCGGCCUAUCAGCUUGUUGGUGGGGUAAUGGCCUACCAAGGCGUCGACGGGUAGCCGGCCUGAGAGGGCGACCGGCCACACUGGGACUGAGACACGGCCCAGACUCCUACGGGAGGCAGCAGUGGGGAAUAUUGCACAAUGGGCGAAAGCCUGAUGCAGCGACGCCACGUGAGGGAUGACGGCCUUCGGGUUGUAAACCUCUUUCAGCAGGGAAGAAGCGAAAGUGACGGUACCUGCAGAAGAAGCGCCGGCUAACUACGUGCCAGCAGCCGCGGUAAUACGUAGGGCGCAAGCGUUGUCCGGAAUUAUUGGGCGUAAAGAGCUCGUAGGCGGUCUGUCGCGUCUGGUGUGAAAUCCCAUGGCUCAACUGUGGGCUUGCAUCGGGUACGGGCAGACUAGAGUGCUGUAGGGGAGACUGGAAUUCCUGGUGUAGCGGUGGAAUGCGCAGAUAUCAGGAGGAACACCGAUGGCGAAGGCAGGUCUCUGGGCAGUUACUGACGCUGAGGAGCGAAAGCAUGGGGAGCGAACAGGAUUAGAUACCCUGGUAGUCCAUG